This 468-nucleotide ribosomal RNA is filed under the name uncultured bacterium. RNAcentral's name for it is "partial 16S ribosomal RNA". It matches the Rfam family "Bacterial small subunit ribosomal RNA", at positions 28 to 507 of the family's 1533-position model. The record is from RNAcentral.
GACGAACGCUGGCGGCGUGCUUAACACAUGCAAGUCGAACGGAAAGGCCCUGCUUUUGUGGGGUGCUCGAGUGGCGAACGGGUGAGUAACACGUGAGUAACCUGCCCUUGACUUUGGGAUAACUUCAGGAAACUGGGGCUAAUACCGGAUAGGAGCUCCUGCUGCAUGGUGGGGGUUGGAAAGUGUCGGCGGUUGGGGAUGGACUCGCGGCUUAUCAGCUUGUUGGUGGGGUAGUGGCUUACCAAGGCUUUGACGGAUAGCCGGCCUGAGAGGGUGACCGGCGACAUGGGGACUAAGAUACGGAGCAGACGCGUACGUGAGGCAGCAGUGGAGAGUAUGACACAGUGGGCGGAAGCCUGAGGCAGCAGCGCCGCGUGCGUGAUGACGGCCUUCGAGUGGUAAACCGCUGUCGACUGUAACGAAGCGUGAGUGACGGUAAUGAGUAAAGAAGCACCGGCUAACUACGUG